UGAGUCGUUCGGGUGGCCGCGGUGCAGAGAUGCAUCGAGGAAAGUCGGGACUCCAGAGAGCAUGGUGCUGGCGCGAGCCAGGUCGGGGCGACCUGACGGACAGUGCAACAGAGAGGAAACCGCCGAUGGACUGGCAACAGUCACAGGCAAGGCUGAAACGGUGCGGUAAGAGCGCACCAGCGCGUGGGGCGACUCACGCGGCUCGGUAAACCCCACUAGGAGCAAGGUCAAGCAGAAGGAUUGGGCUGCUCGCCCGCCGCAAGGCAACCUUCGGGUAGACCGCACAGAUGGAUGGUCACCGCACACGGAAGUGUGCACAGAAUCCCGCUUACAGAGCGACUCACCGU
RNAcentral lists this RNase P RNA (347 nucleotides) under Actinomycetota bacterium. RNAcentral's name for it is "Actinobacteria bacterium (freshwater metagenome) RNase P RNA component class A". It matches the Rfam family "Bacterial RNase P class A". From Rfam's summary of the family: Ribonuclease P (RNase P) is a ubiquitous endoribonuclease, found in archaea, bacteria and eukarya as well as chloroplasts and mitochondria. Lineage: Bacteria; Bacillati; Actinomycetota. The record is from RNAcentral.